AGUGAACGCUGGCGGUAGGCCUAACACAUGCAAGUCGAACGGCAGCACAGUAAGAGCUUGCUCUUACGGGUGGCGAGUGGCGGACGGGUGAGGAAUACAUCGGAAUCUACUUUUUCGUGGGGGAUAACGUAGGGAAACUUACGCUAAUACCGCAUACGACCUACGGGUGAAAGCAGGGGAUCUUCGGACCUCGCGCGAUUGAAUGAGCCGAUGUCGGAUUAGCUAGUUGGCGGGGUAAAGGCCCGCCAAGGCGACGAUCCGUAGCUGGUCUGAGAGGAUGAUCAGCCACACUGGAACUGAGACACGGUCCAGACUCCUACGGGAGGCAGCAGUGGGGAAUAUUGGACAAUGGGCGCAAGCCUGAUCCAGCCAUACCGCGUGGGUGAAGAAGGCCUUCGGGUUGUAAAGCCCUUUUGUUGGGAAAGAAAAGCAGCAGGUUAAUACCCCGCUGUUCUGACGGUACCCAAAGAAUAAGCACCGGCUAACUUCGUG
Molecule: ribosomal RNA, 492 nt
Filed under: uncultured bacterium
Lineage: Bacteria
Description: partial 16S ribosomal RNA
Rfam family: Bacterial small subunit ribosomal RNA
Source: RNAcentral